Molecule: ribosomal RNA, 1498 nt
Filed under: Lactiplantibacillus plantarum
Lineage: Bacteria; Bacillati; Bacillota; Bacilli; Lactobacillales; Lactobacillaceae
Description: partial 16S ribosomal RNA
Rfam family: Bacterial small subunit ribosomal RNA
Source: RNAcentral
GCGGCGGUGCUAUACAUGCAAGUCGGACGAACUCUGGUAUUGAUUGGUGCUUGCAUCAUGAUUUACAUUUGAGUGAGUGGCGAACUGGUGAGUAACACGUGGGAAACCUGCCCAGAAGCGGGGGAUAACACCUGGAAACAGAUGCUAAUACCGCAUAACAACUUGGACCGCAUGGUCCGAGCUUGAAAGAUGGCUUCGGCUAUCACUUUUGGAUGGUCCCGCGGCGUAUUAGCUAGAUGGUGGGGUAACGGCUCACCAUGGCAAUGAUACGUAGCCGACCUGAGAGGGUAAUCGGCCACAUUGGGACUGAGACACGGCCCAAACUCCUACGGGAGGCAGCAGUAGGGAAUCUUCCACAAUGGACGAAAGUCUGAUGGAGCAACGCCGCGUGAGUGAAGAAGGGUUUCGGCUCGUAAAACUCUGUUGUUAAAGAAGAACAUAUCUGAGAGUAACUGUUCAGGUAUUGACGGUAUUUAACCAGAAAGCCACGGCUAACUACGUGCCAGCAGCCGCGGUAAUACGUAGGUGGCAAGCGUUGUCCGGAUUUAUUGGGCGUAAAGCGAGCGCAGGCGGUUUUUUAAGUCUGAUGUGAAAGCCUUCGGCUCAACCGAAGAAGUGCAUCGGAAACUGGGAAACUUGAGUGCAGAAGAGGACAGUGGAACUCCAUGUGUAGCGGUGAAAUGCGUAGAUAUAUGGAAGAACACCAGUGGCGAAGGCGGCUGUCUGGUCUGUAACUGACGCUGAGGCUCGAAAGUAUGGGUAGCAAACAGGAUUAGAUACCCUGGUAGUCCAUACCGUAAACGAUGAAUGCUAAGUGUUGGAGGGUUUCCGCCCUUCAGUGCUGCAGCUAACGCAUUAAGCAUUCCGCCUGGGGAGUACGGCCGCAAGGCUGAAACUCAAAGGAAUUGACGGGGGCCCGCACAAGCGGUGGAGCAUGUGGUUUAAUUCGAAGCUACGCGAAGAACCUUACCAGGUCUUGACAUACUAUGCAAAUCUAAGAGAUUAGACGUUCCCUUCGGGGACAUGGAUACAGGUGGUGCAUGGUUGUCGUCAGCUCGUGUCGUGAGAUGUUGGGUUAAGUCCCGCAACGAGCGCAACCCUUAUUAUCAGUUGCCAGCAUUAAGUUGGGCACUCUGGUGAGACUGCCGGUGACAAACCGGAGGAAGGUGGGGAUGACGUCAAAUCAUCAUGCCCCUUAUGACCUGGGCUACACACGUGCUACAAUGGAUGGUACAACGAGUUGCGAACUCGCGAGAGUAAGCUAAUCUCUUAAAGCCAUUCUCAGUUCGGAUUGUAGGCUGCAACUCGCCUACAUGAAGUCGGAAUCGCUAGUAAUCGCGGAUCAGCAUGCCGCGGUGAAUACGUUCCCGGGCCUUGUACACACCGCCCGUCACACCAUGAGAGUUUGUAACACCCAAAGUCGGUGGGGUAACCUUUUAGGAACCAGCCGCCUAAGGUGGGACAGAUGAUUAGGGUGAAGUCGUAACAAGAGUAGCAC